UACGUAGGUGGCGAGCGUUGUCCGGAUUUACUGGGCGUAAAGGGAGCGUAGGCGGACUUUUAAGUGAGAUGUGAAAUACUCGGGCUCAACUUGAGUGCUGCAUUUCAAACUGAAAGUCUAGAGUGCAGGAGAGGAGAAUGGAAUUCCUAGUGUAGCGGUGAAAUGCGUAGAGAUUAGGAAGAACACCAGUGGCGAAGGCGAUUCUCUGGACUGUAACUGACGCUGAGGCUCGAAAGCGUGGGGAGCAAACAGG
Molecule: ribosomal RNA, 253 nt
Filed under: uncultured bacterium
Lineage: Bacteria
Description: partial 16S ribosomal RNA
Rfam family: Bacterial small subunit ribosomal RNA
Source: RNAcentral